GAGCACGUAGGUGGGUUUGUAAGUCAGACGUGAAAGCCUUCUGUUCAACGGAAGAAUUGCAUCUGAAACUGCGAGUCUUGAGUGUAGGAGGGGAGAAUGGAACUUUUGGUGGAGCGGUGAAAUGCGUAGAUAUCAGAAGGAACUCCGGCGGCGAAAGCGAUUCUCUGGCCUAUUACUGACACUCAGUGUGCGAAAGCUAGGGGAGCAAACGGGAUUAGAUACCCCGGUAGUCCUAACCGUAAACGAUGGGCACUAAGUAGAGGGGUUUU
RNAcentral lists this ribosomal RNA (269 nucleotides) under uncultured Planctomycetales bacterium. RNAcentral describes it as "partial 16S ribosomal RNA". It matches the Rfam family "Bacterial small subunit ribosomal RNA", at positions 565 to 832 of the family's 1533-position model. The record is from RNAcentral. Lineage: Bacteria; Pseudomonadati; Planctomycetota; Planctomycetia; Planctomycetales.